This 253-nucleotide ribosomal RNA is filed under the name uncultured bacterium. RNAcentral describes it as "partial 16S ribosomal RNA". It matches the Rfam family "Bacterial small subunit ribosomal RNA", at positions 524 to 776 of the family's 1533-position model. The record is from RNAcentral.
UACGGGGGGUGCGAGCGUUGUCCGGAAUCACUGGGCGUAAAGGGCGCGUAGGUGGUUUGAUAAGGGUGUGGUGAAAGUCCGGGGCUCAACCCCGGAUCUGCCGUGCCGACUGUCAAACUCGAGGACUGUAGAGGCAGGCGGAAUUCCGGGUGUAGCGGUGGAAUGCGUAGAGAUCCGGAGGAAGACCGGUGGCGAAGGCGGUCUGCUGGGCAGUUUCUGACACUGAGGCGCGACAGCGUGGGGAGCAAACAGG